MicroRNA precursor from Pan troglodytes (chimpanzee), 97 nucleotides. It matches the Rfam family "mir-544 microRNA precursor family". The record is from Rfam. Lineage: Eukaryota; Metazoa; Chordata; Mammalia; Primates; Hominidae.
GUCACCUGGGUAUCUUGCUAAAAUGUAGAUUCUGGUUCAGUAGGUCUUGAUUUGGCCUAAGAUUUUGCAUUUCUAACAAGUUCCUAGGUGGUGUCAU